AUUCAGACUUUCCCCAUGAGAGUAGGUAAUCCCAGUCUAUGAGAAUUGAAAUCUGAAGUUCAGGAGACACUCACAUCUGGGUGUUAAAUGUCCCCAGAAAAACCAAGGUGGCAACUCAUGUUCUUGUUGGGAGGGUGGUUCCCGUUGUCAGAUAUCCAUGACCUUCCUUUGGGAAAGGAAGGACCAGCAGGGAGAAGGAGCUACUUAGAGACUCCAGCCUGCCAUGAGGAUGAAGGGGAGGAAGGAGAUACACAUGCUCGGAGUGGACCUAAUGGACAUUUCCACAGAGAUCAAAGGGUGACAAGCGGAUGAAUCGAACUCCGAGGCUUUUUUCUCCACUCCAGAUUCAUUUGAAGAUUUCUCCCAGAUGCGGCACUAAAACCCUAGAUUCAAUUUCCCUUUGACAUAAUAACCGAAUUAGUCUCAUAUUGUCAUACAUAAAUUACUAGCCAGUCAGGGUGCCACCAGAGGGAGAGAGAGCUGGAGAGAAAGCCAGGCACGAGCAUCCAAGGGGUGUGACUCUGACAAGUGGGGACCUGAAUAACAAUGGGGACAGGAGGGGAAGAGCUAAUCAUAUCUGACAAACGAGGAGCAUCCCCAGGCGGCAGCAAAGGUGCAGAUUAUUUACCUUCCUCCCCAUGCCCCUGGCCAUUAAAAUGUCACCGUGGGGAGCCUCGCACCUUACAAGAGAUACACGGAUCUAAAUAUCUUCUCCAUUAAGUAAUGCUCUGUUUGCAAAGGCUGCUUUCAAAGGGGAAAAUGUAAUUGUGUGGAACACUGAUGCAGCUUCCCAGACUUCAAGACGGAGCUGAGCCUGGCAGAGGACCUGUCUGAGGCCCAGUUUGGGGCACAGAUGCCAAUCCUGAGCCCAGGGGGGCUCGGCCUGGCUUAUUCUGAGCACAGAGGUGGCCUCCCAGCCUACCCCAUGUGGGCCCUGGGGCCACGAGUGAGACCAGAUCGAAGCCAGCUGGAAUGAGGCUUCCUCACCUGCCCACCGGCCACUGGGCCCCAGGCCAGGGCCCUGGGGACACUCCUUAAGCCUUCCCCUCCAUUUCCCCUGGCCCAUCUGUUCAUUCUGCUCAAUUCUCCUAAAAGCUCUGGCCUCUGGCCUCACUGCUGCAGCCCAUGUUCGCUGGGAUUAUAACCACAGCCUCCUGAUUAGAUUGCCCACCUUCAGUCCUACUUAACGACCCAUGCUCCGCUUAGCCACCAGAACGGAUCUCUCCAAAGCGCACAUGCUUGGCAGUGCUUCCCUGAAUGAAAGCUUUCAGGCAGGGCCCUGAAGAGGACGGUCCAGACCUCUUAGUACAGCCUGAAGAGGAGCAUGGUCUGACCGUUGCCCACCGCUCCAGGUGUAUCCCUUGGUCCAGACCCUCACCUGUACCAUUGAGCAAGUAAGCUCUGCGGUUUCCUGAGCUGUUUCUUUAGCAUGGAACAUCCUUCUGCUCCUUCACUUUCAACUUAAGCCUUGUCUCCAAAUAACGCAUCUCCGGGUCUCCCUAGAUCCAGUCAAAGCCUCCACUGCUCCUGUUAGUUUCUACUGCUCCCCAUCCUACUUCUCUCAUGGCACCUGAAACAUGUUAUUGCUCUUUAUUUAAAAUAUUUUUAUUGGAGGAUAGUUGAUCUACAAUGUUAUGUUUCUAUUGUACAGAAAAGUGAAUCAGUUAUACCUACCCACAUUUUUUUUCCAGAUCUUCUGCCCAGUUUUUUUUUUCUUCUUCUUAACUUUUUAUUUUGUAUUGGAGUAUAGCUGAUUAACAGUGUUUUGAUAGUUUCAGGUGGACAGCAAAGGGACUCAGUCA
This 1802-nucleotide long non-coding RNA is filed under the name Capra hircus (goat). RNAcentral describes it as "lncRNA (ENSCHIG00000001917.1)". Lineage: Eukaryota; Metazoa; Chordata; Mammalia; Artiodactyla; Bovidae. The record is from RNAcentral.